RNAcentral lists this long non-coding RNA (480 nucleotides) under Capra hircus (goat). RNAcentral describes it as "lncRNA (ENSCHIG00010017549.1)". The stretch from base 411 to 480 matches the Rfam family "tRNA". Lineage: Eukaryota; Metazoa; Chordata; Mammalia; Artiodactyla; Bovidae. The record is from RNAcentral.
ACAUAGCGCUUAAGGUAAGGAGGCUUUAGUUAGCGGCCCUGUAAACUCAGCUCAAGUGUUUCAAGUAAACAGACUAAUUACAACAGCACUGGAAGGACCAGCAUGUUUGCUCUGGGAGUGCAGCAAGCAUUGUUUUCUCAAAGCUACUGCAGGACCUUGGAGGCCUCUUAGCUCAGCAGCUACUACAGCUGCAACCCUUACAACAUAAGAGUUGGUGAUUGGUGGAGUGAUGAGGAAGCCCAGAGAAAACCACAGAAAAGGUAAUACAACUCGUGAUGUACAGAGUGGAGUACAGAGAAGUUGCGGCUCACUGAAAUUAAGAUGAGUCUCCCAGUUGUGUAAACUACUAACAGAUAGUCACUUUCAAAAAGUGAUCAAAUAAUUGAAUCACCAGAGAUAUAUUAAAGGGCUUCCCUGUGGCUCAGAUGGUAGAGCAUCUGUCUGCAAUGUGGGAGAUCCAGGUUUGAUCCCUGGGCAGGG